GCAGCCGCGGUAAUACGGAGGAUGCGAGCGUUAUCCGGAUUUAUUGGGUUUAAAGGGAGCGUAGACGGGAGAUUAAGUCAGUUGUGAAAGGCUGCGGCUCAACCGCAGCACUGCAGUUGAUACUGGUUUCCUUGAGUUCGGUUGAGGUAUGUGGAAUUCGUGGUGUAGCGGUGAAAUGCUUAGAUAUCACGAAGAACUCCGAUUGCGAAGGCAGCAUACUAAGCCGAUACUGACGUUGAGGCUCGAAAGUGUGGGUAUCAAACAGGAUUAGAUACCCC
RNAcentral lists this ribosomal RNA (278 nucleotides) under uncultured Bacteroides sp. RNAcentral describes it as "partial 16S ribosomal RNA". It matches the Rfam family "Bacterial small subunit ribosomal RNA", at positions 511 to 788 of the family's 1533-position model. Lineage: Bacteria; Pseudomonadati; Bacteroidota; Bacteroidia; Bacteroidales; Bacteroidaceae. The record is from RNAcentral.